GAUGAAGAACGCAGCGAAAUGCGAUAAGUAAUGUGAAUUGCAGAAUUCAGUGAAUCAUCGAAUCUUUGAACGCACAUUGCGCCCCUUGGUAUUCCGAGGGGCAUGCCUGUUCGAGCGUCAUUAUAACCCCUCAAGCUCAGCUUGGUGUUGGGGCCUGCUGCACUGGCAGCCCUUAAAAUCAGUGGCGGCGCCAUCUGGCUCUAAGCGUAGUAAUUCUUCUCGCUAUGGAGUCCUGGGGGAUGCUUGCCAUCAACCCCCAAUUUUUCUAUGGUUGACCUCGGAUCAGGUAGGGAUACCCGCUGAACUUAAGCAUAUCAAUAAGCGGAGGA
RNAcentral lists this unclassified non-coding RNA (329 nucleotides) under soil metagenome. Its description in RNAcentral is "partial contains 5.8S ribosomal RNA, internal transcribed spacer 2, and large subunit ribosomal RNA". The stretch from base 1 to 120 matches the Rfam family "5.8S ribosomal RNA", at positions 35 to 154 of the family's 154-position model. The record is from RNAcentral.